Molecule: ribosomal RNA, 253 nt
Filed under: uncultured bacterium
Lineage: Bacteria
Description: partial 16S ribosomal RNA
Rfam family: Bacterial small subunit ribosomal RNA
Source: RNAcentral
UACGUAGGCAGCAAGCGUUGUUCGGAGUUACUGGGCGUAAAGAGUGCGUAGGCGGUCCUGUAAGUUUGGUGUGAAAUCUCCCGGCUCAACUGGGAGGGUGCGCCGAAGACUGCAGGGCUUGAGUAUGGGAGAGGUAAGCGGAAUUCCUGGUGUAGCGGUGAAAUGCGCAGAUAUCAGGAAGAACACCCGUGGCUAAGGCGGCUCUCUAGUACGGUACUGACGCUGAGACGCGAAAGCGUGGGGAGCGAACAGG